GACGAACGCUGGCGGCGUGCCUAAUACAUGCAAGUUGAGCGCUGAAGGUUGGGACUUGUACCGACUGGAUGAGCAGCGAAGGGGUGAGUAACGCGUGGGGAAUCUGCCUUUGAGCGGGGGACAACAUUUGGAAACGAAUGCUAAUACCGCAUAAAAACUUUAAACACAAGUUUUAAGAUUGAAAGAUGCAAUUGCAUCACUCAAAGAUGAUCCCGCGUUGUAUUAGCUAGUUGGUGAGGUAAAGGCUCACCAAGGCGAGGAUACAUAGCCGACCUGAGAGGGUGAUCGGCCGCAUUGGGACUGAGACACGGCCCAAACGCCUACGGGAGGCAGCAGUAGGGAAUCUUCGGCAAUAGACGAAAGUCUGACCGAGCAACGCCGCGUGAGUGAAGAAGGUUUUCGGAUCGUAAAACUCUGUUUGUAGAGAAGAACGUUUGUGAGAGUGGAAAGCUCAUCAAGUGACGGUAACUACCCAGAAAGCGACGGCUAACUACGUG
RNAcentral lists this ribosomal RNA (497 nucleotides) under uncultured bacterium. Its description in RNAcentral is "partial 16S ribosomal RNA". It matches the Rfam family "Bacterial small subunit ribosomal RNA", at positions 28 to 507 of the family's 1533-position model. The record is from RNAcentral.